UUCUCCGUCGAAGUUUGUGUCUGAGACCGUCUGCUUCGACUUCGUGAUAUACGUCCAUAUUUCACGUGUUUCGCUGUGAUAUUUUCUCCCAAAGGAGAUUGUAUCAUGUCUACGAGUACAGGAACGAGAUGUUAUGUUCCUGGCUGCAUGAAUUCGUCGGUGGCCAACCCGGAACUAACGUUUCACCGACCGAGGGACAAUGACACAAAACGAAAAUGGGAGGCGGCCAUCGCCAGCAGAUAUCCUGCUAUGGAGAAAGAACGUCGUGUUCCGCACAUAUGUUCUUCGCACUCCUCUGACGAAGCUUAUCUGGAGACAGACAUCAUGCAGGUUCGCCUCGGGUUUGCUCCAAAACGAAGGCGGCUAAAACCUGACGCUAUGCCCACGUUGUUCCCGGAACAAGUGGAAAGCCUUGGCAUGCCCAGUGACGAGGUAAGCUUUUAGUUCAGUCCGAGAGCGGUAUAGUGUAAUAUAUAUAGCAGUAUAGUGUGCAGUUAGGCAGUCGUGAUUUCCAAACAGAACUAUCUAACAACCAAUACUAUUUAUUGGCCGGCAAAUGUGCACAUUGCGGGACAUCGACGGCACAACCAUAACGAGACUGAAGAUGCGGUUAUUAUCCCCUCACAUGGCGCGUGUAAAGUGUCUGCUUCGAGUGCUUUCAUAUGUAUCUAUUUCUCUUUCUUAAACACUGUAUUUCUAUUACUGGCUCAGUCAGGCAGCAUGAUGGAGUCUGCUCCAUUUGGUAUGUCAACAACAAUAUAUCUUCUCUUAUAGCAUUGGUAGUGCGCGUGUUGUCUGUCAGUAGUAGCCUGCCUAGCAGUAAUAUAUAGUGAUAGUAUCUUUUGUAAUAUGUAUAGAGAUUGCUUUCAUUAAUAAAGGAAUAUAUCUCAUGGCUCUGGGCAGAUAACAAUAUCAUUCAAGAUGAUGGUUGGCUAGGAGCGUGCUAUGCGGUGAAGUUCAUUUUUAAAAGUGUGGUUGCUGUCAUGCUCCUAAAGUGCUACACAGUUUUGUGGCCAUUUCACACUUUCUCCUUUUCUUUUAGACUAUACGUCAAUCCUCAUUGGCGAGGUGUCGUCUCGCAUAGAAAAACACCUAAAGGAGCCUGGUUCUGUGGAAAUUGGACCACCACGUGCAUCAACAUAUGGUGAAAGACCAGCUUUGGCACAAGCUGUGGAAAAGCACCAGGCCAGGUUCCGGAAGUGAGGACUGUGACCACCUCACACGCUGACACUUCAGACCUUUCAGAAACCAUGACAAAGAAGAAAAAGAACAAAAAAAGGCCCUUUUCAGGGCCACCCAAUGCUUUACACAGAGACAAGCGUUGCUUUUUGAAAACGUCUUGAAGGACCUGCAACAAUGCUGAGGUCAUGAGAGCUCUGGAAUAUUCACCAACAGUGGUGGCACCCAACAGGAGGUCUCAGCUACGCCGCUUUCCUGGCUUGUAUUUUAUGUACGGAGUACAUUCCCUAACCUAGAGAGUGAGAUUCGUUCAUUUCACUCUACAUGCCAAAAUAAGUGUUUUUCAACAGCUUUGCGUGGUAUAGGGGAAGGAUUGCUAGCGGGGAUGUAGUAAGAUGUGGUUGUAUCUCGUGGGCCCUUCCUUGAUCUUUUACACCCGGUGAUAACACAAUAGCCAACAGAAUUGAGCAUAAAAUAUUGCUACAGUGUUCUAUCUUUGCCACAAAAUAAGCCCAACAUGUAUCUACAGAUUCCGACAAAAGCUCCAACAGAACACAGGGUUGGCAUGUAUUUCUUCUUAGGAGUGCCACCUAAGCCGCAAAAUUCGUCCGUAGCUGACACACUGACAGGUGGGAACCUUGGUAGCCUAGCCACAUAUUUGUAAUUGCAUCCACACCAGUUCGCUGAUACGGCAUCAGUCCUGUGAGGAAGUAUGUCAACCCUCUGUUCUGUAAGCUUUUGAAGGAAUCUGUAGAUACUUAUGAGGUGGCAUAACUGUGCCAGCUAUUUUGUCUUCCUACUGCGCUCACUGACAUGUGGGAAGCAUCACGGUGGUCUUGAAUGAAGCUCUGUUCACAGCUGUCGAAGAAGGGUCAUAUGCCUGAAAGAGGUAAGGUAAUGAUAGGAACAAGACUCAUAAUGUACCAUGUUCACUUUUUUUUUUUCAAGUUUUAUCCGGGGCACAUCAGCACUGUAUUACGUCAAAGCUAUAAUGUCAUAAAAAGCUUUUAGGUACACAGGCAUAACAUGUUGUGUAAUAUGAAUUGUUAUUUUUCACUCCAAUACAUGGUUUGUGUGAAUUAUUUAUCUGUAAUAAAUGAAAUUCUAGAA
Molecule: long non-coding RNA, 2289 nt
Organism: Ornithodoros turicata
Lineage: Eukaryota; Metazoa; Arthropoda; Arachnida; Ixodida; Argasidae
Exons: 3
Source: RefSeq, a predicted model, not a curated record